UCACAACUCUGGGUGGUUAUUGUGAGCAAGAUGGCUGGAACAAUCAUGUUUUAGCGAGAACCGGAGUACACAACUGCACUCACAAGCAGCUCCGACGCCAGCUAACGAGUAUUUGAAGACGAGCUGUGCCUGGUGACGGAUGCUAAGCACUCGGCCAACAUGACGGCGCUGACUCUCUGCCUCCUCUACAGCCUGUCCAUCCAGGCCUACUGGACCGCGCUGCAGAGGUCCCCUAAGCUGGAGGCCCACAUCAGCCACGUGGCCCUCCAGCACCCCACAUCCUGCUCCAACCUUCUCUGUGACAGUCACUAAGUCCUCCGUCUGUCCACACUGCAGCACCUGGUCUUAGUAUACACAUUUGACACAAUUGAAAACUCUGUGUCGUACAUUUCAAGGUGCAUUUUGUUCUGCACAUUUCCUCAUAAAUUGGUGUCUUGAUCUGUUCACACUGCAGCACACAGCACACGCUUUUUUCAUAGCAGGUGAUGAUGAUGACGAUUUUGGUUCAAUACUGAAUAACUCUCACUGUCCAGGCUUCCUUUAAAUCAGUCCAAAAUCGAAGUUGGUGUAAGGUUGGGGGGAAAAAAACGUGUUCUUUUGCUCCUGUGUAUCUUUCUGGUGUAUAUACGCAUAUAUUGCAUUUGGAUUACUGAUACAGUGUUAUGUGGGUUGCUAACUGGAUUCAUCCUGUGAUUUCUUAUUUUUUUUGUUUUUGAUUAUUAUUUGUGUACUUGUUUGAUAUUUUCGCUGCAUUGUCAGGAGCUAGUGACACAAGCAUUUCGCUGUACCCACGAUAACAACUGUGUACGCAACCAAUAAACUGUGAUUUGAUCUGUU
Molecule: long non-coding RNA, 837 nt
Organism: Salvelinus fontinalis (brook trout)
Lineage: Eukaryota; Metazoa; Chordata; Actinopteri; Salmoniformes; Salmonidae
Exons: 2
Source: RefSeq, a predicted model, not a curated record